Molecule: ribosomal RNA, 373 nt
Filed under: uncultured organism
Description: partial 16S ribosomal RNA
Rfam family: Bacterial small subunit ribosomal RNA
Source: RNAcentral
GUAGGUGGCAAGCGUUGUCCGGAAUUAUUGGGCGUAAAGCGCGCGCAGGCGGGUUCUUUAAGUCUGAUGUGAAAGCCCACGGGCUCAACCGUGGAGGGUCAUUGGAAACUGGAGAACUUGAGUACAGAAGGGGAAAGCGGAAUUCCACGUGUAGCGGUGAAAUGCGUAGAGAUGUGGAGGAACACCAGUGGCGAAGGCGGCUUUCUGGUCUGUAACUGACGCUGAGGCGCGAAAGCGUGGGGAGCAAACAGGAUUAGAUACCCUGGUAGUCCACGCCGUAAACGAUGAGUGCUAAGUGUUAGGGGGUUUCCGCCCCUUAGUGCUGCAGCUAACGCAUUAAGCACUCCGCCUGGGGAGUACGGCCGCAAGGCUG